This is a long non-coding RNA of Chinchilla lanigera (long-tailed chinchilla), 310 nucleotides long. RefSeq lists it as uncharacterized. The record is from RefSeq and is a predicted model, not a curated record. The transcript is spliced from 3 exons. NCBI's taxonomy places the organism in Eukaryota, Metazoa, Chordata, Mammalia, Rodentia, Chinchillidae.
GCUUCUGCAUUGUGCAUGAUCUUUCUGCCGGGAUCAACCCAUUUACCUGCCUGGUCUGUGCUGGGAUGGGGACUGCGAUUUCCAGAAGGCGAUCUGAGGCACGGAGAGGGAAAUUCCCGAAGGAGCCACAGUUCGGGGUGUGUCCAAGACCAGAUGUGCCCUGCUCAUGCUGGUAGAUAAAGAAGGAAGUCAGCACCCACAUCUGUGCUGGAUGCUAGCACCCACAGACAUAGGGCAAUCAUACCAUUGCCAUGACUUUCACAUCCAGAGGUUUCACUACGCAGUUCACACUGGCCUUGAACUCACAUUG